RNAcentral lists this ribosomal RNA (525 nucleotides) under Fusarium solani. RNAcentral describes it as "eukaryotic LSU rRNA". The stretch from base 151 to 304 matches the Rfam family "5.8S ribosomal RNA". The record is from RNAcentral. Lineage: Eukaryota; Fungi; Ascomycota; Sordariomycetes; Hypocreales; Nectriaceae.
CCGAGUUAUUCAACUCAUCAACCCUGUGAACAUACCUAAACGUUGCUUCGGCGGGAACAGACGGCCCCGUGAAACGGGCCGCCCCCGCCAGAGGACCCCUAACUCUGUUUCUAUAAUGUUUCUUCUGAGUAAAACAAGCAAAUAAAUUAAAACUUUCAACAACGGAUCUCUUGGCUCUGGCAUCGAUGAAGAACGCAGCGAAAUGCGAUAAGUAAUGUGAAUUGCAGAAUUCAGUGAAUCAUCGAAUCUUUGAACGCACAUUGCGCCCGCCAGUAUUCUGGCGGGCAUGCCUGUUCGAGCGUCAUUACAACCCUCAGGCCCCCGGGCCUGGCGUUGGGGAUCGGCGGAGCCCCCCGUGGGCACACGCCGUCCCCCAAAUACAGUGGCGGUCCCGCCGCAGCUUCCAUCGCGUAGUAGCUAACACCUCGCGACUGGAGAGCGGCGCGGCCACGCCGUAAAACACCCAACUCUUCUGAAGUUGACCUCGAAUCAGGUAGGAAUACCCGCUGAACUUAAGCAUAUCAU